UCUCGCUGGGGUGAGAGGACAUUACAUAGAUGUAACGUGGUUUGUAAAAGUAACUCACAAAAUAGUGUAAACGCACGUAGAAAGUUCUAGGUCGCUACACAAAAAUCAUUUAUUGCACUGGAAGACAACCCCCCUCCCACAUUCCAUAACAAUUUAGGUAUCAGAGAAGUUUCUGUAAUUUUUCCAGGGUCCCCAAACAGUCUCAUACUGGUGAGAGGUACGGGAGUCCCAGUGUGCUAUUUGCUCAAGACGGUACAAUUGAUCGCAUUUCUGUAUCGUGGCAUUGGAGGAGAAUCCGUAGACUUCCAUCUCACAGCUAUCAAUAGUCUAGCUCAGUCUGAUAUUGCAAAGAAUAUGGGUGGGUUUAGAGCAUUUGAGACCACUAUAUACCGCAUAACUUGGGAGAUGCAGGGACAGGAAGCUCGCAGAGUUCUGAGAUGGUUUUGCAAACGAGCUGCCAGUAGGGUUUUAUUUUAGAGCAAGUCCACCAAAUGUGGCCGUGAGUGCCUAAGUCACACCGGCAUCUCCAACACUUGGGAGCGCAUUCCGGGAAGAGGGUUCAGAGUAGGGCAACUGAAGUAAUAACUGGAAUGGGUGGACUACAGUACCCUGAAAGAUUAUUAGGGUUA
Bufo bufo (common toad) is the source of this 629-nucleotide long non-coding RNA. RefSeq lists it as uncharacterized. NCBI's taxonomy places the organism in Eukaryota, Metazoa, Chordata, Amphibia, Anura, Bufonidae. The record is from RefSeq and is a predicted model, not a curated record. The transcript is spliced from 2 exons.